This 875-nucleotide ribosomal RNA is filed under the name Chelonibia testudinaria. Its description in RNAcentral is "partial 16S ribosomal RNA". The stretch from base 419 to 573 matches the Rfam family "Archaeal large subunit ribosomal RNA", at positions 1883 to 2090 of the family's 2987-position model. The record is from RNAcentral. Lineage: Eukaryota; Metazoa; Arthropoda; Thecostraca; Balanomorpha; Chelonibiidae.
UUUCUCGAAAAUAAAAGAUCUAAAAAAGUCUAGAUGUUUUUGUAUCAACAAAAUUUUCAAAAUUUUUUUAGGUGUGAAAUUCUAAUCGUUUUUAUUAAUAUCUAGUUACUUAGGAAAUAAAUUUAGUUUGAGAGCUUGAGAUAAACUAUAUUUAAAUGGCUCUUUAUGCCUUAGGGGAUGAGCUCUAAGGUAAAUUUAAAAGAUGAAUGAUAAAUAUUUUUUAGGUAGGCUUAGAAUUAGCCACUUUAUAAUGUUAUAAAAUAGAAUUUUAAGAAUGAGAUUUUUGUAUCUUUUAAUUUUACUGAGUUAGUUUCAAAUUUAAUAACAAUCGAAAAAAUGAUAGGAUUAGUAGAUGAAUUAUUAAAUUAAGCCUGAAAUUAUAAAUUUAAAAAAUACAACUAAAGAACUCGGCAAAAAAGAUUUCCGAAUGUUUAACAAAAACAUUUCCUCUUAGUAAAAGAGGUAAGACCUGCUCACUGAGAUUUAAAGAGCCGCAGUAUCCUGACUGUGCUAAGGUAGCAUAAUCAUUAGUCUUUUAAUUGGAGACUGGUAUGAAUGGUUAAACGAGAAAUCAACUUUUUUUGUUGUAAAGCUUGAAUUUAACUUUUUAGUGAAAAGGCUAAAAUUUUUCAAAAAGACGAGAAGACCCUAUAGAGUUUUAUAAUCAAGGGAAUAUUUCUUUCUUAGAUUUUUAUGAGAGGUAUUUACUGUAGUUAUUUUGUUGGGGCGACAUUUAGAUAUAAAAAACUCUUUAUUUUUAAAACUUUUAUGAAAGGUAAAUUGAUCCUUUAAAAAAGAUCAUAAGAAAAAAUUACCUUAGGGAUAACAGCGUAAUCUUUUUUGAGAGUUCUAAUCGACAAAAAGGUUUGCGACCU